AGUGAACGCUGGCGGCAGGCCUAACACAUGCAAGUCGAGCGGCAGCGCGGGGGCAACCCUGGCGGCGAGCGGCGGACGGGUGAGGAAUUCGUCGGAAUCUGCCUUUUUGUGGGGGAUAAAGUAGGGAAACUUACGCUAAUACCGCAUACGUCCUACGGGAGAAAGUGGGGGACCGCAAGGCCUCACGCAGAAAGAUGAGCCGACGACCGAUUAGCUAGUUGGUGGGGUAAAGGCCCACCAAGGCGACGAUCGGUAGCUGGUCUGAGAGGAUGAUCAGCCACACUGGGACUGAGACACGGCCCAGACUCCUACGGGAGGCAGCAGUGGGGAAUAUUGGACAAAGGGCGCAAGCCUGAUCCAGCCAUGCCGCGUGUGUGAAGAAGGCCUUCGGGUUGUAAAGCACUUUUGUCCGGAAAGAAAUCCCUGGAGCUAAUACCUUCGGGGGAUGACGGUACCGGAAGAAUAAGCACCGGCUAACUUCGUG
This 484-nucleotide ribosomal RNA is filed under the name uncultured bacterium. RNAcentral's name for it is "partial 16S ribosomal RNA". It matches the Rfam family "Bacterial small subunit ribosomal RNA", at positions 29 to 507 of the family's 1533-position model. The record is from RNAcentral.